RNAcentral lists this ribosomal RNA (253 nucleotides) under uncultured bacterium. Its description in RNAcentral is "partial 16S ribosomal RNA". It matches the Rfam family "Bacterial small subunit ribosomal RNA", at positions 524 to 776 of the family's 1533-position model. The record is from RNAcentral.
GACAGAGGUCCCGAGCGUUAGGCGGAAUCACUGGGCUUAAAGCGUGUGUAGGCGGAUGCCUAAGUACCUUGUGAAAUCCCACGGCUCAACCGUGGAACUGCUUGGUAUACUGGUUGUCUUGGGCCAUCUAGGGGCGAGCGGAACAAACGGUGGAGCGGUGAAAUGCGUAGAUAUCGUUUGGAACGCCAAUGGUGAAAACAGCUCGCUGGGGAUGUGCCGACGCUGAGACACGAAAGCCAGGGGAGCGAACGGG